GAUGAACGCUGGCGGCGUGCCUAAUACAUGCAAGUCGAGCGAACAGAUGAGGAGCUUGCUCCUCUGACGUUAGCGGCGGACGGGUGAGUAACACGUGGAUAACCUACCUAUAAGACUGGGAUAACUUCGGGAAACCGGAGCUAAUACCGGAUAAUAUAUUGAACCGCAUGGUUCAAUAGUGAAAGACGGUUUUGCUGUCUCUUAUAGAUGGAUCCGCGCCGCAUUAGCUAGUUGGUAAGGUAACGGCUUACCAAGGCAACGAUGCGUAGCCGACCUGAGAGGGUGAUCGGCCACACUGGAACUGAGACACGGUCCAGACGCCUACGAGAGGCAGCAGUAGGGAAUCGUCCGCAAUGGGCGAAAACCUGACGGAGCAACGCCGCGUGAGAUAUGAAAGUCUUCGGAUCGUAAUACUCUGUUAUUAGGGAAGAACAAAUGUGUAAGUAACUAUGCACGUCUUGACGGUACCUAAUCAGAAAGCCACGGCUAACUACGUG
Molecule: ribosomal RNA, 497 nt
Filed under: uncultured bacterium
Lineage: Bacteria
Description: partial 16S ribosomal RNA
Rfam family: Bacterial small subunit ribosomal RNA
Source: RNAcentral